Molecule: long non-coding RNA, 563 nt
Organism: Neofelis nebulosa (Clouded leopard)
Lineage: Eukaryota; Metazoa; Chordata; Mammalia; Carnivora; Felidae
Exons: 2
Source: RefSeq, a predicted model, not a curated record
GUGCAUUGCCACAUUUCCUGCGCGUUUCCCUCUGGGGUGCGCGGGGAGGGCAGGGGCCUAAGGAUUCUUUACAGCCGCAUCUAAUCCAACUGGUCAGUGACCCUGGCCCCCUGGUUACAGAGUACUUUCAAAGUCACCACUACUCUUAAGGGUCCCCCCUUUAAGGGCACUGGUAUGCUGAAGAGAAGCGGCGGUUAACGUUCACUGGGCCCAUGUCAUGGGACAAACCCCGGACAUAUAUCAUUGCCGCCCACAGCCUGGAUGAGGCUAUCCUAGGGGGAAUUAUAUUGUCCUUUUGCAGAUGAGAUGACGGAGGUUCACGAAGGUGGGCUGUGUUGAAGAUCACAAAGCUUAAGGAAGGGGUGAGGCAGGUCUGAACUGAGACAGCCCGACUUUGCGUAGGUGCGCACGUCUCCCCGUCUCCCUGGCUGCAGACAUGACGCUGUCCCUUCGCUGACCAGCACGCAGAAAGAAAACUAUGUUCUCCGAAUACAGCCUCCUGACGAUUUUACCACCUUUAAGGGGUGUGUGUAAAACAGAAGCAAAUAAAACCCUUCACAUAA